RNAcentral lists this ribosomal RNA (253 nucleotides) under uncultured bacterium. Its description in RNAcentral is "partial 16S ribosomal RNA". It matches the Rfam family "Bacterial small subunit ribosomal RNA", at positions 524 to 776 of the family's 1533-position model. The record is from RNAcentral.
UACAGAGGUCCCAAGCGUUGUUCGGAUUCAUUGGGCGUAAAGGGUGCGUAGGCGGCGCGGUAAGUCGGGUGUGAAAUCUCGGGGCUUAACUCCGAAACUGCAUUCGAUACUGCCGUGCUUGAGGACUGGAGAGGAGACUGGAAUUUACGGUGUAGCGGUGAAAUGCGUAGAUAUCGUAAGGAAGACCAGUGGCGAAGGCGGGUCUCUGGGCCUGACCUGACGCUGAGGAGCGAAAGCGUGGGGAGCGAACAGG